GUCAACGACCAUACCAUGUUGAAUAAACCGGUUCUCGUCCGAUCACCGAAGUUGAGCACCAUCGGGCGCGAUUAGAGCAAUUCUCUAGGAAAUUGUUUUUA
Molecule: ribosomal RNA, 101 nt
Filed under: Culex quinquefasciatus (southern house mosquito)
Lineage: Eukaryota; Metazoa; Arthropoda; Insecta; Diptera; Culicidae
Source: RNAcentral